GCCGUAGUGUACCAAUGGUAGGUGACUAGCCUCCUAAGCUAGGGGUUGCGGGUUCGAGUCCCGUCUACGGUA
Molecule: transfer RNA, 72 nt
Organism: Wallemia sebi
Lineage: Eukaryota; Fungi; Basidiomycota; Wallemiomycetes; Wallemiales; Wallemiaceae
Rfam family: tRNA
About the family: Transfer RNA (tRNA) molecules are approximately 80 nucleotides in length. Their secondary structure includes four short double-helical elements and three loops (D, anti-codon, and T loops).
Source: Rfam